RNAcentral lists this long non-coding RNA (699 nucleotides) under Ananas comosus (pineapple). RNAcentral describes it as "long non-coding RNA (ACOM_LNC034863)". Lineage: Eukaryota; Viridiplantae; Streptophyta; Magnoliopsida; Poales; Bromeliaceae. The record is from RNAcentral.
UAACCAAUCUAUAACAUGAUGCUAAUAUGCCUGAACAAAAGCAAGGGAUAUGCUCAACAUUGAAUAAAUGCAGAUUAUGCAAUUUCUUUAUUCUUUUUACUUUACUCUUUGUUCUUUGUUCUUUACACUUUGUUCUUUGCUCUUUAUUCUUUUAAUCUCAAAGCUAACCCGGGGGUUUCGCCACAUUAACUUGCUUCACAUUAAGUCCAUCAUCGCAGGAACUCACCAGCUAGGACCGUCCUUACGGGUCUACUCCAACCCGGAUGCAUAACUCCGGAGCGCAUCGCCCGAGGGGGAGCGACCACCCUCGAGCACGGAACUCUUAGCAAGUAUGAUCAUAUCCUUAACUCAAAGGAUUAUAAGUUCAAUCUUGACUUUACACUAGCUCUAGUGUUCAUUACAUCACAUUAUAUUGCAAACUCAUGCAAUCACAUUCUUUACAUUUCUUUUACUUUUGCUAACUCUAGCAAUUAUAUUCUUUAUUCCCCACAUUACUUUAACUUUCAACAUUGUCAUUUUCAUCAUUCUUUACGUUACAUUGGUUCUUUGCAUCACACUAACUCUAGUGUCUCUUUACUUUACAUUUUUUCAAAUGUCACUCGAUCUAUGUCAUUGUGCCACUCUGUUCUUUUGCUCACUUUGGGUGCUCACAUUCUCUCAUGCAUACAUCUAGGGUUUUGACAUUAUUAGGUUCUCAAC